This 305-nucleotide ribosomal RNA is filed under the name uncultured bacterium. Its description in RNAcentral is "bacterial SSU rRNA". It matches the Rfam family "Bacterial small subunit ribosomal RNA", at positions 338 to 660 of the family's 1533-position model. The record is from RNAcentral.
CCUACGGGGGGCAGCAGUGGGGAAUAUUGCACAAUGGAGGGAACUCUGAUGCAGCGACGCCGCGUGAGUGAAGAAGUAAUUCGUUAUGUAAAGCUCUAUCAGCAGGGAAGAAAGUGACGGUACCUGAAAAAGAAGCUCCGGCUAAAUACGUGCCAGCAGCCGCGGUAAUACGUAGGUGGCAAGCGUUGUUCGGAAUAACUGGGCGUAAAGGAUGCGUAGGCGGUUAAACAAGUUAUAUGUUAAAUAUAUAGGCUUAACCUGUAGGAAGCAUAUAAAACUGUUUAACUAGAGUGCAGGAGAGGUAA